AUGUAAGAAACUACAGGCUUAGUCACGUGAGCUUUGAUAUAAGCCGCCGCUUCUUCUUCAGCAGUACCACCGAUUUCACCGAUCAUCACGAUGGCUUCAGUCUGUGGAUCG
Molecule: ribosomal RNA, 111 nt
Filed under: Shewanella putrefaciens
Lineage: Bacteria; Pseudomonadati; Pseudomonadota; Gammaproteobacteria; Alteromonadales; Shewanellaceae
Source: RNAcentral